ACGCUGGCGGCGUGCCUAAUACAUGCAAGUAGAACGCUGAAGCUUGGUGCUUGCACCGAGCGGAUGAGUUGCGAACGGGUGAGUAACGCGUAGGUAACCUGCCUCUUAGCGGGGGAUAACUAUUGGAAACGAUAGCUAAAACCGCAUAAAAGUCGAUAUCGCAUGAUAUUGAUUUGAAAGGUGCAAUUGCAUCACUAAGAGAUGGACCUGCGUUGUAUUAGCUAGUUGGUGAGGUAACGGCUCACCAAGGCGACGAUACAUAGCCGACCUGAGAGGGUGAUCGGCCACACUGGGACUGAGACACGGCCCAGACUCCUACGGGAGGCAGCAGUAGGGAAUCUUCGGCAAUGGGGGCAACCCUGACCGAGCAACGCCGCGUGAGUGAAGAAGGUUUUCGGAUCGUAAAGCUCUGUUGUAAGAGAAGAACGAGUGUGAGAGUGGAAAGUUCACACUGUGACGGUAACUUACCAGAAAGGGACGGCUAACUACGUGCCAGCAGCCGCGGUAAUACGUAGGUCCCGAGCGUUAUCCGGAUUUAUUGGGCGUAAAGCGGGCGCAGGCGGUUAGAUAAGUCUGAAGUUAAAGGCUGUGGCUUAACCAUAGUACGCUUUGGAAACUGUUUAACUUGAGUGCAGAAGGGGAGAGUGGAAUUCCAUGUGUAGCGGUGAAAUGCGUAGAUAUAUGGAGGAACACCGGUGGCGAAAGCGGCUCUCUGGUCUGUAACUGACGCUGAGGCUCGAAAGCGUGGGGAGCAAACAGGAUUAGAUACCCUGGUAGUCCACGCCGUAAACGAUGAGUGCUAGGUGUUGGGUCCUUUCCGGGACUCAGUGCCGCAGCUAACGCAUUAAGCACUCCGCCUGGGUAGUACGACCGCAAGGUUGAAACUCAAAGGAAUUGACGGGGGCCCGCACAAGCGGU
This 918-nucleotide ribosomal RNA is filed under the name uncultured bacterium. Its description in RNAcentral is "bacterial SSU rRNA". It matches the Rfam family "Bacterial small subunit ribosomal RNA", at positions 33 to 933 of the family's 1533-position model. The record is from RNAcentral.